Molecule: unclassified non-coding RNA, 427 nt
Filed under: Schizosaccharomyces pombe (fission yeast)
Lineage: Eukaryota; Fungi; Ascomycota; Schizosaccharomycetes; Schizosaccharomycetales; Schizosaccharomycetaceae
Source: RNAcentral
GAAUCGUAGGGUUUCUUGCAGGUGCGAGUUUGAGCUAUGCUGCCGGGGUCCAGGCAUUGAUUUCCACCAGUAAACAGAACAAAGACGAGCUCUUAACUGCAACUGAAGCGUUAGAAACUGAUAAACAACUUUAUAAGAAAAUAGAAAAAAAGAUUGAAGAAUUAGAGUCAAGCUGUGUCAAAAAAAGUAGUUGGGAAAUUCAGGAAAGCGAAUGGAAGGCUAUGUUCCAGACAAUGCGUGUUGAAUACUUGGAACUACUGGAAAAACAAAAGACUCUAGGGGAAGUACUAAAUAAGCUUGUUGAAGAUCGGCAAACAAAAUUCCAGUUUUGAUAUGAAGCGCAUCGUCCUUAUACUAUGUAUGAAAUUAUUCGGAACCAUACUCUUAACUAUCUACCUGUCAUUAUAAAAUAUUUCAUUUUUCUGUC